CUUGACAUGUCCGGAAGCCCGCUGAGAGGCGGGGGUGCCCGAAAGGGAACCGGAACACAGGUGCUGCAUGGCUGUCGUCAGCUCGUGUCGUGAGAUGUUGGGUUAAGUCCCGCAACGAGCGCAACCCUUGUCCCUAGUUGCUACGCAAGGGCACUCUAGGGAGACUGCCGGUGACAAACCGGAGGAAGGUGGGGAUGACGUCAAGUCCUCAUGGCCCUUAUGGGUAG
This 227-nucleotide ribosomal RNA is filed under the name uncultured beta proteobacterium. Its description in RNAcentral is "partial 16S ribosomal RNA". It matches the Rfam family "Bacterial small subunit ribosomal RNA", at positions 980 to 1211 of the family's 1533-position model. Lineage: Bacteria; Pseudomonadati; Pseudomonadota; Betaproteobacteria. The record is from RNAcentral.